CGAACGCUGGCGGCGUGCUUAACACAUGCAAGUCGAACGCUGAAGACCUGGCUUUUGUUGGGUUGGAUGAGUGGCGAACGGGUGAGUAACACGUGAGUAACCUGCCCUCUUCUUUGGGAUAACGCCCGGAAACGGGUGCUAAUACUGGAUAUUCACUGAUCUUCGCAUGGGGGUUGGUGGAAAGGUUUGUUCUGGUGGGGGAUGGGCUCGCGGCCUAUCAGCUUGUUGGUGGGGUGAUGGCCUACCAAGGCUUUGACGGGUAGCCGGCCUGAGAGGGUGACCGGUCACAUUGGGACUGAGAUACGGCCCAGACGCCUACGGGAGGCAGCAGUGGGGAAUAUUGCACAAUGGGCGAAAGCCUGAUGCAGCGACGCCGCGUGAGGGAUGGAGGCCUUCGGGUUGUAAACCUCUUUCGCUCAUGGUCAAGCCGCAACUGUGGGUUGUGGUGAGGGUAGUGGGUAAAGAAGCGCCGGCUAACUACGUG
RNAcentral lists this ribosomal RNA (484 nucleotides) under uncultured bacterium. RNAcentral's name for it is "partial 16S ribosomal RNA". It matches the Rfam family "Bacterial small subunit ribosomal RNA", at positions 30 to 507 of the family's 1533-position model. The record is from RNAcentral.